AUGCAGCCAACACACUCAACCGCCGGCGGACGCCCCGGCUCCGCCCAGAUCCCCCAUCUGAAUUUGCUCCGGGAAUGCAUCGUGAACCACCGCUCUGCUGUUUUCGCACCCUUCUGGUCGCGAGUCCUUCACGCGCACAUCCACCACCGUGAUCCUCCGACCGGACCCGCGUCGCUUGCCGCUUGCUCCGACCGCCACCCCAUCACCGGUAGUCGAGAGUGA
This is a non-coding RNA of Vicia faba (fava bean), 222 nucleotides long. The record is from the annotation of a GenBank genome assembly. Lineage: Eukaryota; Viridiplantae; Streptophyta; Magnoliopsida; Fabales; Fabaceae.